Molecule: transfer RNA, 95 nt
Organism: Catenaria anguillulae PL171
Lineage: Eukaryota; Fungi; Blastocladiomycota; Blastocladiomycetes; Blastocladiales; Catenariaceae
Rfam family: tRNA
About the family: Transfer RNA (tRNA) molecules are approximately 80 nucleotides in length.
Source: Rfam
GCCCGGCUGGCGCAAUGGUUAGCGCGUCAGACUUCUAAGUGCUUCAUCCGGCCUCUGGAAUCUGACGGUUGCGGGUUCGAGUCCCGCGUCGGGUG